AUUGAACGCUGGCGGCAGGCGUAACACAUGUAAGUCGAGCGAGUGGCGGACGGGGGCGUGAUGUUUGGGAACCUGUCUAAUGGAGGGGGAUAACUACUGGAAACGGUGGCUAAUACCGCAUACCAUCGGAUGUGCCCAGAUGGGAUUAGCUAGUUGGUGGGGUAACGGCUCACCUAGGCGACGAUCCCUAGCUGGUCUGAGAGGAUGACCAGCCACACUGGAACUGAGACACGGCCCAGACUCCUACGGGAGGAAGCAGUGGGGAAUAUUGCGCAAUGGGGGCAAGCCUGCUGCAGCCAUGCCGGGUGUAUGAAGAAGGCGUUUGGGUUGUAAAGUCCUUUCCGCAGGGAGGCGUUACUCCCCGACGAAGCACCGGCUACCUCCGUGCCAGCCGCCGCGGUAAUUC
RNAcentral lists this ribosomal RNA (406 nucleotides) under uncultured bacterium. RNAcentral's name for it is "partial 16S ribosomal RNA". It matches the Rfam family "Bacterial small subunit ribosomal RNA", at positions 30 to 526 of the family's 1533-position model. The record is from RNAcentral.